Molecule: long non-coding RNA, 1874 nt
Filed under: Marmota monax (woodchuck)
Lineage: Eukaryota; Metazoa; Chordata; Mammalia; Rodentia; Sciuridae
Rfam family: Small nucleolar RNA SNORD52 (bases 912-978)
Source: RNAcentral
GACGGGUCCUCAGCGCAGCGAUGGUAAGUGGGUUGGUUGUACGAAUAAUUGCAAGAUUUGGAGUCGCUGGCGGUCGACCUUGGGGGAGGACGGGGUAAUGAUGAUUCCAGGUGAUUCUGAGCGUGUCGCUGAUGCCAUCACCGCAGCGCGCUGACACCCCUCGUGCCAGAAUUCUCAAUGUCUGGGCUCGGGGAAGUUGGUGGCCAAGAACCCUUUUAAUAAUUAUAAUUUUUUGUUUUAAACUUCCUUAUUUAGGGGUUUUAAGACGUCCAUUGGUGUGUAAUCCUUAAAUAAAGGUUAGUAUUAACUGCAAGAGUCCCAAAUGCCUCUGAACCCUUUUGUUUCCCAGCUUUCAUGGGGCGUUGGCGUCUGUUAGUUUCCUAAUGAGCAUGUACAACAGUGCCCAUAUUUCAUGUGGUGGCUUUCCAGGGACCACUUUUGUUUUACAUUUCUCUUGUGGUUCUUGUUCCUUUGUGAUCACCUCUGGGUUUUUUGGGGGAGGAGGGGUACCAGGGAUUGAACUGAGGGGCACUUGACUACUGAGCCACAUCCCUCUCAUAUAUUUGAUUUAGAGAUGAGAUCUCACUAAAUUGCCUACCGCUUCGCCAUUGCUGAGGCUGGCUUUGAACCCACGAUCCUGCCUCAGCCUCUGGUGCAGCUGGGAUUACAGGCAUGGGCCAUCAUGCACAGCCCCCUCUGUAUUUUUAAGUACAGUUAACACAUCUAUUCUAAAAUAUUUCUAUUGUAAACUUGAGCUCAUGUGGGUCCUCCAAGUGGAGCUAUUCUCAACUGUAUUCUUUUGUGCUCUUUCUUCAACUCCUCAUUCCUUAAGUCCUUAUAUAGUAGGACUGUUGUCUUUGUACUGUAUCCCCUCUCAGAAUGGCUUCCCUUGAUCCAGAUCUUCCUUAAGUGAGAAUGAUGAAUUUACAGACUAGAGUCUCUGAUGCUGGUCCUGAUGUCAAAAAUAAGUUCUGACUCAUUUAGGGAACUGGAUACUUGGGUCUCUGGAGAAGGCUGCUUUUUUUUUUUUUUUUUUUGGUAGAUGGACAGCAUGCCUUUAUUUUAUUUAUUUUUAUAUGGAGCUAAGGAUUGAAUCUAGUGCCUCAUACCUGUUAGGUCUGCCACUGAGCUACAGCCCCAGCCCCUUUCUGUUUUGUUUUGAGACAGGAUUUUGCCAAACUACUGAGGCUAGCUAGCCUCCUACCUUGAAUUCCUCCUGCCUUAGCUUUCCAGUUUUCUGGAUUAUAGGGAUGCACCGCCUGGUUAACGCCUGCUUGUUCUUUAUGGUUGUCCUGUCUUUCUAGCAUGAGAGUUCUGCAAGCCCAGCUAAGGGCAGUGCCCCUACCCAGAGAUUCUUUGCUAACCUGAAGACUGAAAAGGUUUUGGAAUCUACCCCAUGGGACACUGUUGGGAUGCUUAGGUUCCUGCUGUUGCAUCCUCAGGCUGUCAUGACAAGUGGAGAGCAACCCUUUCUCCCUGGUUACUAUGGUGAGUCAUUCACAUUGGCUGUCACCCUGAGGGUAAUAAUGACCUUAAAACUACCAGAUCUACUUAAUUCUUCCCCUCCAUCCCAUGUGACAACUUCCCAUCCAGCUUCAUGGUUUUAUUGCCGGUUGCCUGCAUGGUUCUAAUGUGUUCCUUUUGUGAAAUUUCAGGAUUUUGUUGACACAAAGGAUGCUCUGAUGUUGGACGGUUUCUAUGAAUAUAACAUCUUUCCUGUAUUAAACUGAGCAGCUAUGAAGCACAAAUAACUGGCUAAAAUUUUUGGGACCCUACCAUUAAGUAGGAUAUUUGCUUGUGUUUUCUCAUUUACAAGCACAUGAUUUUAUUGGAAAAAUUUCAAUAAAAUAUUUUAAAGCAAGUAAUGAAUGGAU